RNAcentral lists this ribosomal RNA (550 nucleotides) under uncultured Glomerales. RNAcentral's name for it is "SSU rRNA". It matches the Rfam family "Eukaryotic small subunit ribosomal RNA", at positions 548 to 1099 of the family's 1831-position model. Lineage: Eukaryota; Fungi; Glomeromycota; Glomeromycetes; Glomerales; Glomeraceae. The record is from RNAcentral.
UUGGAGGGCAAGUCUGGUGCCAGCAGCCGCGGUAAUUCCAGCUCCAAUAGCGUAUAUUAAAGUUGUUGCAGUUAAAAAGCUCGUAGUUGAAUUUCGGGGUCAGUAGACUGGUCAUGCCACCGGUAUGUACUGGUCUCACUGAUUCCUCCUUCCUGAUGAGCCGUAAUGCCAUUAAUUUGGUGUUGCGAGGAAUCUGGACUGUUACUUUGAAAAAAUUAGAGCGUUUAAAGCAGGCUAACGCUUGAAUACAUUAGCAUGGAAUAAUGAAAUAGGACGUUCGAUCUUAUUUUGUUGGUUUCUAAGAUUGACGUAAUGAUUAAUAGGGAUAGUUGGGGGCAUUAGUAUUCAAUUGUCAGAGGUGAAAUUCUUGGAUUUAUUGAAGACUAACUACUGCGAAAGCAUUUGCCAAGGAUGUUUUCAUUAAUCAAGAACGAAAGUUAGGGGAUCGAAGACGAUCAGAUACCGUCGUAGUCUUAACCAUAAACUAUGCCGACUAGGGAUCGGAUGAUGUUAAUUUUUUAAUGACUCAUUCGGCGCCUUACGGGAAACA